Long non-coding RNA from Carassius auratus (goldfish), 840 nucleotides. RefSeq lists it as uncharacterized. Lineage: Eukaryota; Metazoa; Chordata; Actinopteri; Cypriniformes; Cyprinidae. The transcript has 3 exons. The record is from RefSeq and is a predicted model, not a curated record.
ACUGGUUUAGUACAUGCUUCAGUUUGAUGGGUAAUUAAAUGAUACUUUUCUUCUUUUUUGUGUUAUAGACAAUGAUGUGGAUGGAGGGACUGUUGACAUCGGACUGACUGAGUCAAUGAUUUCAUUACUUUUUGAGGGAUCAUUUAAAAAACAAGCAAAAUUUCAUCGAUUUGUUCAGCAGAUGAAGGAGACAGUGACAUUAACUCUUGAACCUGUGCCUGUAGAAAGCCAGUCAAGAGCUGGAGCAAGUAAUAUCAGCCCAUCAACAGCUUUCCCUGCAUUUUUUGAAGUUCCGAAGUUUCCAUUUGAUGUUCAGGCCAAGUUGGACCGAAAAGAAUGCAGACUAACGUCAUCAGACCAAAACAAAAUUAUUAGAACGUUGUAUGAAAUCAUGGCUCAGUACAAAAUGUAUCCAACUACAGAAGAGUAUGUUCAAGUGGCUAAGGCCCUGACUCUGAGGUAUCCCUUUUUAAAAGACAAAGAGGGCAAUGGAUAAGUAGCUGGUUUACCUUUAAUGUUCUACUUUUGGUUCUUGGUUAAUGGAGUUUAUUUUGUGAAACUACUUUUCUUUUUUUUUUUCCUUUUUUUUAUAGCACACUUGGCACAUGUCUCUGAAACGCAAGUUUAAAUUUGAGCGGACACCUUUGGCUGGAGUUGAAGAAGUGAAAAGACUUAAACAGAAGUUUGGUCAUUCAAAAAAGUCUCUGCAACCUGAAGAAAGCAGUUGCAAAGAAAUUACAAGGCCUUUGGUGAGAGCAUAUUUUAAUAAUAUUAAUAUUUUUACACUUGUUACCAGUGUAUUGUUCUCAAAUUAAAGGGUUAGUUCAACGAAAAAUGAAA